RNAcentral lists this transfer RNA (77 nucleotides) under Pararhodospirillum photometricum DSM 122. RNAcentral describes it as "tRNA-Pro". Lineage: Bacteria; Pseudomonadati; Pseudomonadota; Alphaproteobacteria; Rhodospirillales; Rhodospirillaceae. The record is from RNAcentral.
ACGCCACGCGUUUUCAGUCCAGGCGACGCGGCUCGCCUCGAACACCCGGCGCAAGUCGGCGAUCAAGGGGGGGCAAU